Molecule: ribosomal RNA, 497 nt
Filed under: uncultured bacterium
Lineage: Bacteria
Description: partial 16S ribosomal RNA
Rfam family: Bacterial small subunit ribosomal RNA
Source: RNAcentral
GACGAACGCUGGCGGCGUGCCUAAUACAUGCAAGUAGAACGCUGAAGAGAGGAGCUUGCUCUUCUUGGAUGAGUUGCGAACGGGUGAGUAACGCGUAGGUAACCUGCCUUGUAGCGGGGGAUAACUAUUGGAAACGAUAGCUAAUACCGCAUAACAAUGGAUGACACAUGUCAUUUAUUUGAAAGGGGCAAUUGCUCCACUACAAGAUGGACCUGCGUUGUAUUAGCUAGUAGGUGAGGUAAUGGCUCACCUAGGCGACGAUACAUAGCCGACCUGAGAGGGUGAUCGGCCACACUGGGACUGAGACACGGCCCAGACUCCUACGGGAGGCAGCAGUAGGGAAUCUUCGGCAAUAGGGGCAACCCUGACCGAGCAACGCCGCGUGAGUGAAGAAGGUUUUCGGAUCGUAAAGAUCUGUUGUAAGUCAAGAACGGGUGUGAGAGUGGAAAGUUCACACUGUGACGGUAGCUUACCAGAAAGGGACGGCUAACUACGUG